CUCACCUGUUCUUUCUGAGACAAGUCAUCUGCCAGGUUUCCGCCUCGGGACACCCAAGCUCAACACAGACAGCCUAGCAGCCUGGGUGACAGGAUCCCGGGGGACAGGAUUCUCUCCUUGCCAUGGGGAUGAGGACAAAUUCUCCCUUCCUCCUUGAGAUUGGACUCCCGCCACACAUCCUGGAGGAGCCUACAGAGAAGCCGGCAGGUCUCCCUCACCUGGAUGGUGGCAGUGGGGGGCCUGGACCACCCAGAGGCCCUCCCCUGCACCUGACGGGAAGCCCCUGGGGCAUAAGUCUCCCCUGCCACUUCCACUGUGGUCACUAGAAGUGUGGCGGAGAAAAUCGCUAGGACAAAAAGAAGUCAAUGAUUUCAACCAGUGGAAUUUCUUUGUCCUUUGUAAAAGUCAACACAUGAUCUGUUACUGAUUGGGAUGUGAAAUAAAACUAAAAAUAACAGCACACUGAGCCUGGCUCAGGGCUCAGCUCACCUUUA
This 494-nucleotide non-coding RNA is filed under the name Pongo abelii (Sumatran orangutan). Lineage: Eukaryota; Metazoa; Chordata; Mammalia; Primates; Hominidae. The record is from RNAcentral.